This 254-nucleotide ribosomal RNA is filed under the name uncultured bacterium. RNAcentral's name for it is "partial 16S ribosomal RNA". It matches the Rfam family "Bacterial small subunit ribosomal RNA", at positions 524 to 776 of the family's 1533-position model. The record is from RNAcentral.
UACGUAGGGUGCGAGCGUUGUCCGGAAUUAUUGGGCGUAAAGAGCUCGUAGGCGGUCUGUCGCGUCGAUCGUGAAAACUUGGGGCUUAACCCUGAGCUUGCGGUCGAUACGGGCAUGACUGGAGUUCGGCAGGGGAGACUGGAAUUCCUGGUGUAGCGGUGAAAUGCGCAGAUAUCAGGAGGAACACCGGUGGCGAAGGCGGUUCUCUGGGCCUUACCUGACGCUGAGGAGCGAAAGCGUGGGGAGCAAACAGG